This is a transfer RNA of 98 nucleotides. It matches the Rfam family "tRNA". From Rfam's summary of the family: Transfer RNA (tRNA) molecules are approximately 80 nucleotides in length. Their secondary structure includes four short double-helical elements and three loops (D, anti-codon, and T loops). The record is from Rfam.
UCUUCCGUAGUAUAGUGGAUAGUAUGUGAGCUUGUCAAGGUGGGGUGUUCCCCCGUCAAGCAACGCUCGAGACCCGGGUUCAAUUCCCGGCGGGAGAG